CCUACGGGGGGCAGCAGUGAGGAAUAUUGGUCAAUGGGCUUACGCCUGAACCAGCCAAGUCGCGUGAGGGAAGACUGCCCUAUGGGUUGUAAACCUCUUUUGUCAGGGAGCAACGCCGGCUACGUGUAGCCUGACUCAGAGUCCCUGAAGAAAAAGCAUCGGCUAACUCCGUGCCAGCAGCCGCGGUAAUACGGAGGAUGCGAGCGUUAUCCGGUUUUAUUGGGUUUAAAGGGUGCGUGGGCGGAAUGCCAAGUCAGCGGUAAAAUCGCGGGGCUCAACCUCGCUCCGCCGUUGAAACUGGCGGUCUUGAGUGGGGGAGAAGUAUGCGGAAUGCGUGGUGUAGCGGUGAAAUGCAUAGAUAUCACGCAGAACUCCGAUUGCGAAGGCAGCAUACCGGCGCCCAACUGACGCUGAAGCACGAAAGCGUGGGUAUCGAACAGGAUUAGAUACCCGUGUAGUC
RNAcentral lists this ribosomal RNA (460 nucleotides) under uncultured bacterium. Its description in RNAcentral is "partial 16S ribosomal RNA". It matches the Rfam family "Bacterial small subunit ribosomal RNA", at positions 338 to 795 of the family's 1533-position model. The record is from RNAcentral.